This is a long non-coding RNA of Dermochelys coriacea (leatherback sea turtle), 2946 nucleotides long. RefSeq lists it as uncharacterized. The transcript has 3 exons. NCBI's taxonomy places the organism in Eukaryota, Metazoa, Chordata, Testudines, Dermochelyidae. The record is from RefSeq and is a predicted model, not a curated record.
UUAAAAGUGGCUUCUUCCAGAGCAUCUCUGUGGACUUCCCCAGGAGCCAGAACAGAAAGCAAGAGAGAUGGUGUUCAUAUUAUCACCUGAUGUGGAAGCUGUGUUGGUGGUGGUCUGAACGCAUGUCCUAAAUAUGUCUCUGGUUAUCUUCUUAUCAUGUUUGAUACUUUAGGGUUUGAAAUCCAGAGUUGGAUCCAAAGAUUGCAGCUUCAGGUCCCCUUUAAUUUGCACCAGAAUUCAUGCCUUUGUUGAAAGGUGACAUUUUUGCCAUUGCUAUCAUCAGUAGGGGUUUUUCUAUGAAAAAGCAGCAUUUCAACAGGAAGAAAAUCACAAAAUGAUUGUGAUUCUGCAGUGAAAAACCUCAGGCUGAUGAACUGCUAUGACAGUGUUAAUGUCAGGAAGAGAUCUUCUCCUGUGAAAAAAUUCACCCAGUAGGAGAGGGCUUUAAACCAGCAGAACUCAUUUCAGGGUCCAAGAAAGGAAUCCAUACAUGAGAAAAUGGACUGAGAACAACAGAAUUAAUUUCACACAGCGAUGUACUGCCUUGGAAAUGGGCUGAAACUGGAAGAAUUUACUGACAUAUUCAACCCAGAUCUACCAUGUGAAACAAAUGCUUUAUCUCUGGAAACAGGUACUCCCAACAUGCUUGUAAUUUAACAGAUGUGGCUGAUCUGAACUGGGAGGAUUCAGCCUUACCUCAUUCCUAAUCUAUGCUGCUAUCGGUUGAAUUUGGGGUAUGUGAUAAUCUGAUAGAAAUGUUAGAGAGCUGUUUGUUCAGCCAUUUAUAUACAUCUGCAAUCCUAAGGAAAAAAAACAGUGCAUGCAUUUCAACCAGUUGAUGACAAGUUAGAGCAGUUUAAUAAAUCACUCAUAAUAAACUUUGUUAUGUGCCGAUGGAAACACCAGAGAGCUCUUUAAUAAGCCAUUCAUGAUAAAACAGCCAACACUUAAAUAACGGAAAGUCAUAUGCAGGGCUUGUUGAUGUGUUCUGACCAUGCUCUGCUGUACAUUACUUCCCAGGUAUGUCUGUAUUAGCAUACACUAUCUAGAAUAUGUAUAAAGCUGUUAUUAACUGUAACUCACUGAGAAGGCAGCCCUUCCUGAAACCUCACCCCAUCAAUUAAAAGCCUUGAAUUAGGCUGUAUCUACAUUGGUUCCCCACCCUCCUUAAAAUUUCCCAUUCUUUUUACCACCGAUUCACCUUACUGGUGCUAGCAAAGGUGGGGGUGCUAGUAAAGAUGGCACUUCAGGCAGCCACUGAUGGUUUCCCCAUUUAAGAUUGCAAAAAUCUAGUUUUAGAAGAAAAGCAAUAACUCUCCCUAACUCCAUGCACUCAGCAUAUCCUGAAACUCUUGCUGCUGCUUGUUGCUUUGUUUCCAAAGCUCUUGAAAAUGCAGCAACUUAAAAGUAUUUAUAGGGCCUUGUAGGUGAAGACAAAAGACAUGAAUUUGAUGGGGUAAGAGGCAGGAAGCUGAGAGGUGGAUUUCAAGAGGAUAAAGUUCUGGAGUGUGCCUUUAGCAGUGGUGUUUUAGGCAGCCAGGCAGAUUUCAGGUCGGUGAGAGGGACUUAGGCCAGAUUCAUAGACAAUCAAAGAACAUAGGUGCUUGAACAGACACUGUGGGCCAAAGAUAACCAAUGCUAGCCCCUAAAAAGAAACAUUCAGACAACAUUAGCAACAGUGACAACCAACAACUUGUGCACUGGAGUUUUCAGCUAGUCCUUUUGAAGCAAUGGGCAGCUUCCACAGGUGGAGUGACUUGAUUUAGAUAAACACUCAAAAAGUUUGGGAAUUUUAUAGAUAUUUUGGUUUAGAAACUGGGCUAGAUAUUAUGCAAGCUCAGGUGUUCCCAUGGGAUUUCUAGCAAUUAUCACUCUUUUAGCCAAAUCUGAAAUAUUGGGAUUAGAGCCUCUUGCCAUAUUGUUGCACUGUCUGAUCCCAGCCAAAUCCAGGAACACACAGAGACAGCUGCAAACAUGGGGGUGGGGGAAUGAACAAACAACAAAUCAAACUUUUUUCUGACUUUUUUUGAGGAAAGAUUCAGAUUCUGCUGGAGAUGUGGGGAGUCAAAACAAGCUCACUGUCGAGCCUGGGUCACACUCAGUGCAGCUUCAGAAAUGUCAGGCACAAGUUUUGUAUGUCCGAGAUAUUUGUACUGAAGUGUGAAAAAUGGCUUGUGCAACUACGUGAGAAAAAUGGACUGGUUUUGGAGGCUGCUUUUGCUAGCUUGCCCCUUUAUCUACUGGAGGCUUUUCUAGAGCAUCCAGCAGUAGCCGAGGAGUGGGAGACAGCAAGAGAGACAGAAAAGCCUCCCCCUCAUCUAUAGUUGAUUCAGAGGAGGAUUAAUUGUUUUUGAGCUGGUGCUGCUGAUCUCCACCAGGUGCGGUUCCUAGCAAGACUUGGCAGGAGUCAAUGGGUGCUGCACUGAUAUUUGUUUUGGCCAUUUCUUUAUUCAAAUGCUCUGAUAGAGAUGAAUUUACUUUGCUCUGUGCUUUAUUCCUGUAUCACCUGCCUUGAAAUGGGAACUCUGAGCAAUGGAUUGCCUACUAUUAGAUUGAGUACAGCUUCUGACUUUCCUGUCCCUGUGAGCUCAUUUCCAUAUAAUCACCACUGCAUCUACUUGUGAUAUGCCUUGUCAAUAACAUAGAUCUACUUGCAUCUAUAUGCUGUUAAUCUGCUUGCAAACUGCCAAGUAAUUAACUUGCUACCACAUGCUAAUUGCAUGUUAUUAACCUGCAUGGACAACAUGCUAUUUGCCAUGUAUUUAAGUGAACACAAAGCAGCAUGUGCAGCAAGACAGCUGGAAAAAGCUACUUCGAGGAAGAGAAUUUGAUGGAUCCUGGAGGAAAUCUCCAAAACAAUAUACAAUAGAUUAUCUUCUGCAGCCACAGGUUUCAAAACACACUUCCGGGCCAGCAGCUCAGUGAAUUGACUGCUGCCAUUGGGAG